This is a non-coding RNA of Pelobates cultripes (western spadefoot toad), 225 nucleotides long. The record is from the annotation of a GenBank genome assembly. Lineage: Eukaryota; Metazoa; Chordata; Amphibia; Anura; Pelobatidae.
GGCCAUCCGUGGACAUAUUAUGACUGUUAGGAAUAAUGCCCUUUAAGACUGUGUAGCAGAUUGCAUUCAGGCUGUAUUUAAUAUUAUGUGUUCGGUAAACAGUGUUAUGUAUAUGCAGCAUUCCCCUGAUUGUUCGGUAGAAUCACUCCAUUCAUUAUAUUGAGUGAAACUACCGAACAACCAGACCACCCUGGAGUAAGUGUGCCUCCAAUUACCGUUUGCAAC